RNAcentral lists this ribosomal RNA (433 nucleotides) under uncultured bacterium. Its description in RNAcentral is "partial 16S ribosomal RNA". It matches the Rfam family "Bacterial small subunit ribosomal RNA", at positions 29 to 507 of the family's 1533-position model. The record is from RNAcentral.
AACGAACGCUGGCGGCGUGCCUAACACAUGCAAGUCGAACGAAAACUUCCUGUCUGGUGGCUCACGGGUUGGUAACGGGGUGAGACCUGCGUUUGUGAUCUGAAUAACUCCCCGGGAUGGGUGCGGAUACCUGAGAAUGUUUUCGGACCAAAGAUUUAUAGCAUUUGGAUGCUGCCGCGUUGCAUUGGCUAGUUGGUAGGGUGAAGGCCUACCAAGGCGACGAUCCAUAGUUGGUCUGAGAGGAUGAACAGGCAGACUGGGACGGAGACGCGGCCCCGACUCGAACGAGAAGCAGCAGUGGGUAAUAUUGGACAAUGGGCGAAAGCCUGCUCCAGCAAUGGCGCGUGAGUGAUCAAGGCGUUAGGGUUGUAAAGCUCUAUUAACCGGGCUGAUAAUGACAGUACCGGGAGAAUAAGCUCCGGCUAACUACGUG